CUCUGCCGCCGCCGCUGCCAGCCGGUCCUCUUCUCCGCCGCCGCGAGCAUGAGCAGCCGCCCGCAUCCUUUUAUUGUGAUGAACCAUUUCUUUUGCAGGACAAAGAUGUACUUCUAAAAACAUUGGAUGGUGUUCGAAGAUAUUAUGCACACCGCAAAGGCCUUCUGCAACUUGACUUUAUCAAGUAACCCCAAGGAAGUUUUAAAACGGAUUAAAGAGUCAACUAGAUGGUCUGACGAGCUGGAUGAUUAUGAGCUACAACUUGGCUAAAGGGUCAUAUGAAACUUUUAAAGAGAUAUAUGAGUGAAUUGGACACAACUUCCACAAGCAGCAACAUGCCCGAGGCAUAUCAAUGUGCCUAGGUGCCAAUGUGCUGAAGGCCAUGCUCGUAGGUUUUUCUUAACUCCUCAAGAUGUUAGCACUUUCCAAUUCGGUGCAGAAUCAAUGUUGUUUGUUGUUCUAUUUGGUGCAGGAUCAAUGUUGUUUGUUGUUCUGUUCCAUGAUUCCCGCGAUUUUUUUGUUUCAUCAAAGGUGGUGUGGCUAUGAUACUAAGGGAGACUGUGUGGCGGUGUUUCAGGUUCGAGAUCAUUCAGUAGUGCCUCAUCAAGAAAGUGUGCUCUGUUCUUGGCUUUAAGAGAUUAGCUUCAAGAGAGCAAAUGAAUAUGACGAUCACUGAAUGACAGGUCGGUCUUUCUGGAUCGGAAGGAAUUUUUUUUAGCUUGGCCUUUGAGUUUCAUAAAUUCAGAAUAAGUUCCUACACCUGUCGUAACUGGACAAAUCAUGCAUGCACGGCUCAGGAAUGAGGACUCUAAAAUGGAUGGAGGAGGAGCUAUAGUUCAGCAGCCAAAUACAGCAGGCAU
Molecule: long non-coding RNA, 860 nt
Organism: Triticum dicoccoides
Lineage: Eukaryota; Viridiplantae; Streptophyta; Magnoliopsida; Poales; Poaceae
Exons: 7
Source: RefSeq, a predicted model, not a curated record